RNAcentral lists this ribosomal RNA (224 nucleotides) under uncultured bacterium. RNAcentral's name for it is "partial 16S ribosomal RNA". It matches the Rfam family "Bacterial small subunit ribosomal RNA", at positions 131 to 353 of the family's 1533-position model. The record is from RNAcentral.
CUGUACAGGGGGAUAACAGUCAGAAAUGACUGCUAAUACCGCAUAAGACCACAGCACCGCAUGGUGCAGGGGUAAAAACUCCGGUGGUACAGGAUGGACCCGCGUCUGAUUAGCUGGUUGGUGAGGUAACGGCUCACCAAGGCGACGAUCAGUAGCCGGCUUGAGAGAGUGAACGGCCACAUUGGGACUGAGACACGGCCCAAACUCCUACGGGAGGCAGCAUG